AUGCAGAAGGAGACAACGACCUGCAUAGCACAACAAAACUACAAAUCACCACAGAGCUACAGACCAGCAACGAAGGGAGCUGAGGGCAAUUUGACCAACAUCAUCUGUGUCGGUUCCCCAGAUGUCAAUGAAACGCGUAAUCGGGUCUCCAAGACCACAAGCCUCAGAAGAUCACUGUGGAAGAAACACACUGGGCCAACCCAUCCUGUUGAUAUGACACAAAGUGCAGCCCAGUUUGGUAUUCUUUCCACUCUGAAGAAGUCUCACACCAGGAAAGGAAGAUAUAAACCACCACAGAAACAAACUGCUUUCCUCAUGGAAGAAUGGUAACUUUGGACAACAUUUGGCACUGCAAGUUCAAAGGGCUAUUUCAUCUGCAUUAGCAAAAGGUCUGGCAAGUGAAGAACUAAAUGACAAAUACCAUAUCAGCUAAGCACAGAAGCAUUCCAUGUAAUAGAAGAUACCCACACUUUGAGACCAGAGACCAAUUUAACUCCUUAACCGUGCAGGAUGGCAAAACAUUUGUUACAUAACAGCAACUUCACAUGGCAUUUUUACAUCCUGCCAUCUUUUCACUGAAGAACAGAAGAUUAGACUUCUACCGACUCUGAGAGACGGGGAGUGGAGCCAGCAGCAAUAUUUAGCACAGAGUGACUGAUUUCUGGCACCAUCUAGCUUCUCUGCAAGAGGAAUCUGGCAGCCUG
RNAcentral lists this long non-coding RNA (704 nucleotides) under Parus major (Great Tit). RNAcentral's name for it is "lncRNA (ENSPMJG00000019277.1)". Lineage: Eukaryota; Metazoa; Chordata; Aves; Passeriformes; Paridae. The record is from RNAcentral.